RNAcentral lists this ribosomal RNA (594 nucleotides) under Microcreagrinae sp. MCZ 60626. RNAcentral's name for it is "SSU rRNA". It matches the Rfam family "Eukaryotic small subunit ribosomal RNA", at positions 1113 to 1728 of the family's 1831-position model. Lineage: Eukaryota; Metazoa; Arthropoda; Arachnida; Pseudoscorpiones; Neobisiidae. The record is from RNAcentral.
UCCGGGGGAAGUAUGGUUGCAAAGCUGAAACUUAAAGGAAUUGACGGAAGGGCACCACCAGGAGUGGAGCCUGCGGCUUAAUUUGACUCAACACGGGAAAACUCACCCGGCCCAGACAGUGUGAUGAUUGACAGAUUGAAAGUUCUUUCUUGAUUCGGUGGUUGGUGGUGCAUGGCCGUUCUUAGUUGGUGGAGCGAUUUGUCUGGUUAAUUCCGAUAACGAACGAGACUCUAGCCUACUAAAUAGACCCACGAUCCUUGGUAUCGUGAGCGGGUCUUCUUAGAGGGACAGGCGGCUUUUAGCCGCACGAAACAGAGCAAUAACAGGUCUGUGAUGCCCUUAGAUGUCCGGGGCCGCACGCGCGCUACACUGAAGAGAUCAGCGUGUGUAACCCUAGUCCGAAAGGACUGGGUAACCCGGUGAACCUUCUUCGUGAUAGGGAUAGGGGAUUGUAAUUAUUCCCCUCGAACGAGGAAUUCCCAGUAAGCGCGAGUCAUCAGCUCGCGUUGAUUACGUCCCUGCCCUUUGUACACACCGCCCGUCGCUACUACCGAUUGAAUGAUUUAGUGAGGUCUUCGGACUGGAGCAACGAGC